Molecule: long non-coding RNA, 226 nt
Filed under: Glycine max (soybean)
Lineage: Eukaryota; Viridiplantae; Streptophyta; Magnoliopsida; Fabales; Fabaceae
Description: long non-coding RNA (GMAX_LNC000077)
Source: RNAcentral
CUGCCAUAAUAAAUUAAGAAGAAAAUCUUCUACAGUAAUUUAAAAAAAAAAAAAAAGAUUCAGGACCUCACCACACUCUACUCAUGUGUUUCUCUCUUUGAUGGUAGUUCACUCGUGUUUAAUGCUCUCAAUAUAGGCUUUUGUGUGAUGUUUUCACUCUUGCCUUUUACCAUUCACUCCUUCUUAAGUACCUGGAUGAAUCAAAUUAUAACAGGAAAGAUAGUAU